UGGGGAAUAUUGCACAAUGGGCGCAAGCCUGAUGCAGCCAUGCCGCGUGUGUGAAGAAGGCCUUUGGGUUGUAAAGCACUUUCAGCGGGGAGGAAGGCGAUAAGGUUAAUAACCUUUUCGAUUGACGUUACCCGCAGAAGAAGCACCGGCUAACUCCGUGCCAGCAGCCGCGGUAAUACGGAGGGUGCAAGCGUUAAUCGGAAUUACUGAGCGUAAAGCGCACGCAGGCGGUCUGUCAAGUCGGAUGUGAAAUCCCCGGGCUUAACCUAGGAACUGCAUUCGAAACUGGCAGGCUAGAGUCUUGUAGAGGGGGGUAGAAUUCCAGGUGUAGCGGUGAAAUGCGUAGAGAUCUGGAGGAAUACCGGUGGCGAAGGCGGCCCCCUGGACAAAGACUGACGCUCAGGUGCGAAAGCGUGGGGAGCAAACAGG
This 429-nucleotide ribosomal RNA is filed under the name Chloroflexota bacterium. Its description in RNAcentral is "Chloroflexi bacterium partial 16S ribosomal RNA". It matches the Rfam family "Bacterial small subunit ribosomal RNA", at positions 355 to 776 of the family's 1533-position model. Lineage: Bacteria; Bacillati; Chloroflexota. The record is from RNAcentral.